GUCGGCUUUGUUUUCAUGAAAUUGUAUUUCUGUUUGGUUCCUUUUUUUUCUGUGUUAUAGUUUGUGUUGUUUGGGGUUUGGCCGUAUUCCUAGCCAUGCCGGGUGGUGGCGGUGGCCGUGGACGGGGUGCAGUGACCAGGUCCUGGAGGACAAGUACCGGGAGGGGCAGUAGCCCAGUUACAAGGGUGCAAGGAACUCCUGGUGCAUCCAGUAGUGCUGGGGGUGGGCAUGGAUCACCGUCUCCUGGGGUGGUUGUUUCGGACUCUUCCCCCUGUGUCACCUGUUGUUUCCCGGUCAAGGAUGAUGAAGAGGGUGGCAUUGCUUGCGACGAGUGUGGUCAGUGGUGUCAUGGGUCGCAGGUGUGUACUGGACUUCCCUCUGAUUUUGUUAAGCAGGUACUGCAGCACCAGGGUAAGGGAGUAAAGUUUGUUUGCACCAGAUGCAGACUGCUUCCUCCUGCGGCUUCAGGUAGUGGGAAGGAGAAUCAGGGUGAGCUCGGGUCACUUAGGGAGUGCAUGACCCAGAUGUUUAACACUAUUGCUGGUCUCAGCAACUCAGUGAGAUCUAUUGAUCUAAGAUUCAAUAAUAUGGUAAAUGAUGGUGUCUUUUCAAGAGAUAGUGGCAGGGUUGUGGGCCCUGAUAUUCGGACCAUUAUUAAAGAAGAAGUUCGUGAGUUGAGCGAGAGGGAAAAGAGGAAGGACAGUAUCAUCAUCAAAGGGCUUGCAUUUGGGUAAAAUUUUCAGGACAAAUUUAAUCCACUUGUUUCCUAUUUAUGGCCGGAGCGAGUUGAACCAGUCACACUUGUAGAUAUUGUGCCUAUCUCUGCUUCCUUGGUGAGAGCCAAGAUAUCAAAUGUCAGGGUGAGGCAAGAGUUACUGUCUAGGUGCAGUAAACUUUCUGGGAGUCAGUUUUCCAACAUUUUCAUCUCUAGUGACCUCACCUACAAUCAGCGGGAAGAGCUGCGGAAAAAACGGGCUUCUGCCCAGGCCAUGAGGAACUCCCAGCCUGUUAGUUCUUCACACAUCUCUAACAAAAGCUUAGCCUCUGUUGUUUUGCCCAGUCAUGAGUCCCCUCAUACUCCUCCCACGUCUCACUUACUUGCGUCCUCUGCCUCUAACCUUGAAGUAUGUUCAAAAGAUGGGAACCCUCAAAAAAACCUCACAUAGAACUUUCUUCUCAGCAAAAUCGGAGUAAUUCUUCUGUAGAUAACCUCUUCAUUACUUUUGUUCUUUUGAAUCUCAACUGUUUAAUCAAUAAAGUUAACUUUUUGGCAGAGUUCAUUUGUAGUCACAGUAUUGGGGUAUGUUGUGUUUGUGAAACUUGGCUAACUUGCAAUGUUUCUGAUCCAGUUAUCAGUAUAUCGGGUUAUAAAUUUUUCCAAAAUGACUCUCCCUUAAAUCUAAGAAUUCACGGUGUUGGGAUUUACAUUCGAGAUGAUAUUAAAGUGGGGAAAACUUUUUCAGAUCAUCCGAAUACGGUUGGGGUAUUUUUGCCUGAUUUUGGCGUUACUAUAUUAGUAGUUUACAGGCCCCCAAGUAAUUCUUUGGAAGAUAAUAUUGCUCUUGUUUCAUACCUGGAAUCUUUCUGUGUUGGUAAAGAAUUAAUACUGGUUGGUGACUUUAAUCUCCCUACUGUUGUCUGGUCCACUGAGGUUCCUUAUUGCACUUCUUCUAUUGAUAUUAGAUUUCUAGAUUUGUUUUCAUCUUUGGGUCUCAUGCAGUGGGUUACGUAAAGUACCUAUGUCCGGUCUAAUAAUAUACUUGACUUGGUCUCUACAUCUGAAGAUAAUAGAAUUUCCCAUGUCGAUAUAAUAGACCCCUUUCCAGGUUGUGACCAUUUUCCAGUUUUGUUUGAGUAUUUAUUUAGUUCUAAUCCAAACAUUAAUAAUGUACAUAACAAUUUUGACUUUUAUAAUGGCAACUACACCUUGUUAAACCAUCAUAUUUUGAAUUUUGAUUGGGAUAAUGAAUUUCUUGGCUUAGAUAUUGAACAAUCAUAUUUAAGAUUUAAAAGUUUAAUGCUUAAUGCCAUUCAGCUAUUUAUUCCAAUUAAGAAGGCAACAGGAAUCAGGAAACCUCCUUGGGCAAAAUCUGUACCUCCUUUAAAACGGCAUAAACGACAAGUAUGGUUGGAGUAUAAGGAUGCUCGGACAAAGUUUGGCAGAUCUUCCCCAAUAGCCUUGAGGUUGUGGCAUUCUUUUAAGACAAUAUCUGUUCAAUAUAAAGAUGCUGUCCAUCAAUCUGUAAUUAAAUAUGAAAGAUCUUUAGUUUCUCCCAAAAAUCCUGAUGUUCAACGUUUUCACUCCUAUCUUCGUAGCAAGAAGGUUCAACGUCCUACUAUUGGACCGCUGUAUGGAGAUAAUGGCUGGUGCGCUGACACAACUGACAUGGCAGAUCUUUUUGUUGAUGCAUUCUCUGGUGUAUUUUCUUCUACUGACUUACUGAAUCCUUAUCCUGUUCAUCAUUGUGACAAUUCAUUUAUAUUUAAUAUAUUUAGUUUUGAUAUUUUUAAAAUUAAGAUUAUCCUUUCUAAGCUGAAAUCUUCUGCUUGUUGUGGCCCUGAUGGUAUACCUUCAGUAUUUUUAAAGAGAUGUGCCCCCUCCAUUAGUUAUCCUUUGCUCUUGUUGUUCAGAAAAUCUUUUAUCAAUGCAAGUCCCAUCUGACUGGAAAGAUGCUAAUGUUAUGCCACUGUUCAAAGGUGGAAUCCAUUCUGAUCCCCUCAACUAUAGACCAAUCAGUUUGACAUCAGUGUGCUGUAAAUCUUUUGAAAGAAUAAUUGUGUCUCAACUUACUUCUUAUUUGGAAGAUAAUAACUUACUUUCAAAGCAUCAAUAUGGUUUUAGAUCGGGUAGAUCAAUUUUCGAGCAACUGUUGUUUACUUAUGACUGUGUGACUCAUUUCUAUGAUGGUGGUAUGUCAGUGGAUGUGAUAUUUUUUGAUUUCAAGAAAGCUUUUGAUGUUGUUAAUCAUAGAUUAUUACUCACAAUGCUAUCUAGUAUUGGGAUUGGGGGGUGUUUGCUAUAGUCUGUUCGGAGCAUGAAGUUGGUUCAAGGUGUGGCAGAUUCCAGAAUUCCCAUGAGUGCAGCGCUGCCAGUUCGACCGCCAAUUAUCAGAUUAGCACUCUCUCCCGGCCUACCUACCCACAACCCAUCUGUUUAUCUCUCUCUCUCUCCCUCUCUCUCCCUCUUGACCCGGGGGAGGGACCUAGGGGGACACACCGACCACCACCACCACCACCACUACCACCACCACAACGUGGCAACAUGGGAAAAAAUCGCUGCCACAUGUCAUAGAAUUUAUACAAAUCCUUGUUAUAAUCCUAAACAUCAACACUCAUUAUACUAUGUAGCUUCCUUUACUAUAUACAGAAUAUAUAAAAUAUCGCUUUCAAAUAGCACAUGGAUGGGAAAUAAGAGAGAGACGCAUGUACAAAGGCUGAUUUGGCAGCAUGGGUAGAGGUAAACGACGAUACCAGCUCCACCCUGAACUGACUUCAUGCUCCGAACAGACUGUAGGAUGGCUGAAAGACUAUUUGAGUGGGAGAAAGAUAACACAGGCUGGGGAAGGAAACGGUGGCUGAGUGGUUAGCGUGCUGGUCCUGCGUUUGCCGCAUCAUGGAUGAUGAAGGUUUGAAUCCGCCGCUGCCACCCGGCGAGUGGCCACAGACUACUUGUCCUGAAGACCACCACCAUCAUCCUGGACUGUAUGGGACUGUCCAAGGGAAAGCAAGAAAGAGGGCAGCAUGAGCCAAGAAUAGAUGGGGCCACUAUAAACACUUGCCGGCUUGGGCCCACCACCAGGCCCAGCCAAGGGAGGUUGGUGUAGCAGUGCCGGGAGGUGCCAUAACACAGGGCACUCCUCACCUUCAACAACAGUCUCUUCACCAACAAGCUUGGAGAAAUAGACGCUACCAAACGAAGAAGAGGAGGAGGAGGAGGACUGGGAAGAAGACGAGGAACACAGGAGGAACCCAUUGAAGAGGAAGAAAAGGAAGAAGAAGAAGAUGAAGAGGAAGAGGAAGAAGAGGAGGAGGGGGAGGAGGAUAAAGACUUGGUGAGUGUUAAAAUCUAUUCUCAUUCCAUGACACCCUUCCUUCCUUCCUUCUUGGCUCUU
Molecule: long non-coding RNA, 4112 nt
Organism: Eriocheir sinensis (Chinese mitten crab)
Lineage: Eukaryota; Metazoa; Arthropoda; Malacostraca; Decapoda; Varunidae
Exons: 5
Source: RefSeq, a predicted model, not a curated record